This 77-nucleotide transfer RNA is filed under the name Deinococcus malanensis. RNAcentral's name for it is "tRNA-Leu". It matches the Rfam family "tRNA". Rfam says of the family: Transfer RNA (tRNA) molecules are approximately 80 nucleotides in length. Their secondary structure includes four short double-helical elements and three loops (D, anti-codon, and T loops). The record is from RNAcentral. Lineage: Bacteria; Thermotogati; Deinococcota; Deinococci; Deinococcales; Deinococcaceae.
AGGAGCGUGGCGCAAUUGGCAGACGCGCACGACUCAGACUCGUGUUGUUGAGGGUUCGACUCCUUCCGCUCCUACCA